UCACAGAGCAGUUAAAGCUUCGGUGGUAAAAGAUGGGCAUGCGUAACAUUAGCUAGUUGGUGAGGUAACGGCUCACCAAGGCUACGAUUUUUAGGGGACCUGAGAGGGUGAUCCCCCACACUGGUACUGAGACACGGACCAGACUCCUACGGGAGGCAGCAGUGAGGAAUAUUGGUCAAUGGAGGGAAGUCUGAACCAGCCAUCCCGCGUGCAGGAAGACGGCCCUAUGGGUUGUAAACUGCUUUUCUGAAGGAAGAAUAAUUACGAUGUAUCGUGAGACGACGGUACUUCAGGAAUAAGCAUCGGCUAACUCCGUCCAGCAGCCGCGGUAAUACGGAGGAUGCAAGCGUUAUCCGGAUUUAUUGGGUUUAAAGGGUGCGUAGGCGGAUCAGUAAGUCAGUGGUGAAAUCUCUCGGCUCAACCGGGAAACUGCCAUUGAUACUGUUGAUCUUGAGUUCGGUAGAGGUAGGCGGAAUGUGUAAUGUAGCGGUGAAAUGCUUAGAUAUUACACAGAACACCAAUUGCGUAGGCAGCUUACUAUGCCGACACUGACGCUGAGGCACGAAAGCGUGGGGAGCGAACAGGAUUAGAUACCCUGGUAGUCCACGCCGUAAACUAUGAUUACUCGUCGUUGGCGAUACACAGUCAGCGACCAAGCGAAAGCGAUAAGUAGUCCACCUGGGGAGUACGCUCGCAGGAGUGAAACUCAAAGGAAUUGACGGGGGCCCGCACAAGCGGUGGAACAUGUGGUUUAAUUCGAUGAUACGCGAGGAACCUUACCUGGGCUUAAAUGUAGAGUGCAUAGAGUGGAAACAUUCUUUUCCUUCGGGACUUUCUACAAGGUGCUGCAUGGUUGUCGUCAGCUCGUGCCGUGAGGUGUCGGGUUAAGUCCCAUAACGAGCGCAACCCUUAUCAUUAGUUGCCAUCGGGUAAUGCCGGGGACUCUAGUGAAACUGCCACCGUAAGGUGAGAGGAAGGUGGGGAUGACGUCAAAUCAGCACGGCCCUUAUGUCCAGGGCUACACACGUGUUACAAUGGUCGGUACAGAGGGCAGCUACCUGGUGACAGGAUGCAAAUCUCUAAAGCCGGUCCAAGUUCGGAUCGAAGUCUGCAACUCGACUUCGUGAAGCUGGAAUCGCUAGUAAUCGUAUAUCAGCAAUGAUACGGUGAAUACGUUCCCGGGCCUUGUACACACCGCCCGUCAAGCCAUGGAAGCUGGGGGUGCCUGAAGUUCGUAACCGCAAGGAGCGACCUAGGGUAAAACUAGUGACUGGGGCUAAGUCGUAACAAGGUA
RNAcentral lists this ribosomal RNA (1294 nucleotides) under metagenome. RNAcentral describes it as "bacterial SSU rRNA". It matches the Rfam family "Bacterial small subunit ribosomal RNA", at positions 190 to 1498 of the family's 1533-position model. The record is from RNAcentral.